Molecule: transfer RNA, 72 nt
Organism: Camelus ferus (Wild Bactrian camel)
Lineage: Eukaryota; Metazoa; Chordata; Mammalia; Artiodactyla; Camelidae
Rfam family: tRNA
About the family: Transfer RNA (tRNA) molecules are approximately 80 nucleotides in length.
Source: Rfam
GAGGGAAUAGCUCAGUGGUAGAGUGUGUGCCUAGCAAGCACGAGGUCCUAGGUUCAGUCUCCAGUACCUCCA